Molecule: ribosomal RNA, 251 nt
Filed under: Coendutermes tucum
Lineage: Eukaryota; Metazoa; Arthropoda; Insecta; Blattodea; Termitidae
Description: partial 16S ribosomal RNA
Source: RNAcentral
UGUAUUGUUUAUUGAAUUUGUGGUUUGAGUAAAAAUUCUUAAAUGUUUUUAUGGGACGAGAAAACCCUAUAGAGUUUAACUUUUUUUCUAUUUAUAUUUUGUUCGUUUUGGUUUAUUGAGUAGGAAUACUGUUUUGUUGGGGGGAUGGGAGGAAUUUAUUUAACUCCUCUUUGUUUUAAUAUAUUUAUUAUAAUUUUUUGUCCAGUUAUUUUGAUUAAAAGAUUAAAUUACCUUAAGGGAAACAGCGUAAA